GUGGGGAAUAUUGGACAAUGGGGGGAACCCUGAUCCAGCCAUGCCGCGUGUGUGAAGAAGGCCUUUUGGUUGUAAAGCACUUUAAGCGAGGAGGAGGCUACCGAGAUUAAUACUCUUGGAUAGUGGACGUUACUCGCAGAAUAAGCACCGGCUAACUCUGUGCCAGCAGCCGCGGUAAUACAGAGGGUGCAAGCGUUAAUCGGAUUUACUGGGCGUAAAGCGCGCGUAGGUGGCCAAUUAAGUCAAAUGUGAAAUCCCCGAGCUUAACUUGGGAAUUGCAUUCGAUACUGGUUGGCUAGAGUAUGGGAGAGGAUGGUAGAAUUCCAGGUGUAGCGGUGAAAUGCGUAGAGAUCUGGAGGAAUACCGAUGGCGAAGGCAGCCAUCUGGCCUAAUACUGACACUGAGGUGCGAAAGCAUGGGGAGCAAACAGGAUUAGAAACCCCUGUAGUCC
RNAcentral lists this ribosomal RNA (451 nucleotides) under uncultured bacterium. RNAcentral describes it as "bacterial SSU rRNA". It matches the Rfam family "Bacterial small subunit ribosomal RNA", at positions 354 to 796 of the family's 1533-position model. The record is from RNAcentral.